RNAcentral lists this non-coding RNA (22 nucleotides) under Arabidopsis thaliana (thale cress). The record is from RNAcentral. Lineage: Eukaryota; Viridiplantae; Streptophyta; Magnoliopsida; Brassicales; Brassicaceae. RNAcentral also lists the same sequence under 2 other names.
GCCCAGUGCUCUGAAUGUCAAA